AGAGUUUGAUCCUGGCUCAGGAUGAACGCUGGCGGCGUGCUUAAUACAUGCAAGUCGAACGAGAACCGGGAGCUUGCUCCCGGGGGCAGUGGCGAAUGGGUGCGUAACACGUAGGCGACCUGCCCUGAAACGGGGGACAACGGUUCGAAAGGACCGCUAAUACCGUAUGUGGUCACGGGGUCACAGCUGUGACUAAACUCGCGCAAGCGGGGUUUCAGGAGGGGCCUGCGGCCCAUCAGCUAGUUGGUAGGGUAACGGCCUACCAAGGCGACGACGGGUAGGGGGCCUGAGAGGGUGGCCCCCCACACUGGCACUGACACACGGGCCAGACUCCUACGGGAGGCAGCAGUAAGGAAUAUUGCACAAUGGGCGCAAGCCUGAUGCAGCAACGCCGCGUGAGCGAUGAAGGCCUUCGGGUCGUAAAGCUCUUUUCCCAGGGAAGAGGAAGGACGGUACCUGGGGAAUAAGUCACGGCUAACUACGUGCCAGCAGCCGCGGUAAAACGUAGGUGGCAAGCGUUAUCCGGAUUCACUGGGCGUAAAGCGCACGCAGGCGGCCUGGAAAGUAGGGCAUGAAAUCUCCCGGCUUAACUGGGAGGGGUUGUCCUAUACUGCCGGGCUUGAGGAUGGGAGAGGGAAGCGGAACUGCCGGUGUAGUGGUGAAAUGCGUAGAGAUCGGCAAGAACACCAGUGGCGAAGGCGGCUUUCUGGCCCAUUCCUGACGCUCAGGUGCGAAAGCUAGGGGAGUGAACGGGAUUAGAAACCCCGGUAAUCCUAGCCGUAAACGAUGUACACUAGGUGUCGGGGGUAUUGAUCCCCUCGGUGCCUAAGCUAACGCGUUAAGUGUACCGCCUGGGGACUACGGCCGCAAGGUUAAAACUCAAAGGAAUUGACGGGGGCCCGCACAAGCAGCGGAGCGUGUGGUUUAAUUCGAUGAUACACGAAGAACCUUACCAGGGUUUGACAUGUGCGUGGUAGUGAAGCGAAAGUGGAACGACCCUAACCGGAGCGCACACAGGUGCUGCAUGGCUGUCGUCAGCUCGUGCCGUGAGGUGUUAGGUUAAGUCCUAUAACGAGCGCAGCCCCUGCUGCCAGUUACAAGUGUCUGGCGGGACUGCCGGUCAUAAGCCGGAGGAAGGUGGGGACGACGUCAAGUCAGCAUGGCCUUUAUAUCCUGGGCUACACACACGCUACAAUGGCCGGUACAAUGGGCCGCAAAGCCGCGAGGCGGAGCCAAUCCCAGCAAAGCCGGUCUCAGUUCGGAUUGUAGGCUGCAACCCGCCUGCAUGAAGUUGGAGUUGCUAGUAAACGCGCGUCAGCCAUAGUGCGUUGAAUACGUUCCCGGGCCUUGUACACACCGCCCGUCACGUCAUGGGAGCUGACAACACCUGAAGCCGGUGGGCCAACCGCAAGGGGGCAGCCGUCGAAGGUGGGGUUGGUGACUGGGACGAAGUCGUAACAAGGUA
RNAcentral lists this ribosomal RNA (1465 nucleotides) under metagenome. RNAcentral describes it as "bacterial SSU rRNA". It matches the Rfam family "Bacterial small subunit ribosomal RNA". The record is from RNAcentral.